Molecule: long non-coding RNA, 677 nt
Organism: Lolium perenne
Lineage: Eukaryota; Viridiplantae; Streptophyta; Magnoliopsida; Poales; Poaceae
Source: RefSeq, a predicted model, not a curated record
UUACCGGGCCAGCAGGCCGCGCAAUUCUCGUAGGUACAGGAGGCAGCCGAAGUUACGCCUUUUGGCCUAGUUGCGAUGGACGAGUGCAGUGGCCUAGAGCGGAUCAGCGGAGCUCUUCCGGCGUGCCGGCGGCGCCACGGGACAACGGACGACCGCGAUGCCGUCCGCCCAUCCACUCACCCCAAUUCCUGAAGACCGCGGCGGCUCUCGUCGGUAAAGCAGGCCACUGCUCCGCCGCCACAACAAUCCCCCAACUGAGGAUCUCCAGUUAGCAUCACAUCCGGAGCAAAAAAGUAUAUAUUGAUGGUCAUGGUGACAGUAUCAAGCUGGCGUGAAUAGCUGCCGGCAGUUCGUGUGAACCAGAGGUGGACGCCACAUAGUUCAGAGGAUGAUCGAUGCAUCGUAGCACAUGAAAAUAAUGGUGGGAAUCUUGUUUUCUUUUUUUAUUGAUAUGAUAAAAUAAUUUUUUCCCCUGAUUGUUCUAGGAAUAUAUAGCCAUGAAAGCUAAUAAGAUGACUGAAACCCACUUGCACCACGAUUAUGAAUACAUAAUCCGAGCAAGCUUAUUUGUAUUUUUUUAAAUAUCAAUAUCUGGAUAUACAUGAUCAUAACAAUGCAAAACUAUCUAGUCUAGAUUCAAAAGCACUGCAAUCAAACAUUUUAUGGUAGUUUGGGUA